RNAcentral lists this transfer RNA (72 nucleotides) under Archangium sp. RNAcentral describes it as "tRNA-Thr". It matches the Rfam family "tRNA". From Rfam's summary of the family: Transfer RNA (tRNA) molecules are approximately 80 nucleotides in length. Their secondary structure includes four short double-helical elements and three loops (D, anti-codon, and T loops). Lineage: Bacteria; Pseudomonadati; Myxococcota; Myxococcia; Myxococcales; Archangiaceae. RNAcentral also lists the same sequence under 1 other name. The record is from RNAcentral.
GCCGAAAUAGCUCAGGGGCAGAGCAACUGAUUCGUAAUCAGUAGGUCCCCGGUUCAAUCCCGGGUUUCGGCU